GGAGAAAUUGGCCUUAGC
RNAcentral lists this non-coding RNA (18 nucleotides) under Arabidopsis thaliana (thale cress). Lineage: Eukaryota; Viridiplantae; Streptophyta; Magnoliopsida; Brassicales; Brassicaceae. The record is from RNAcentral.